This 547-nucleotide long non-coding RNA is filed under the name Volvox carteri. RNAcentral describes it as "long non-coding RNA (VCAR_LNC001961)". Lineage: Eukaryota; Viridiplantae; Chlorophyta; Chlorophyceae; Chlamydomonadales; Volvocaceae. The record is from RNAcentral.
CACCAGUACUCCCGCUGCCGCCAAAGCCCAUCCCAGUCCAGCCAGGCGGCCUAUCUCCCAACGAGCGCAGGCCUACCUGGCGACGAGAACUUGUGGACUUUCUUUAACUUGAUUGUGGAGGCCAGCACUCGGAACUUGGGCAGCGACCUCAGCCGCCACCGCCACCAACACCCUGUCAGCGCCGCACCCACUACCAUGGCAGGGAAGAUGCCGUACAACACCUUAUCCGUGUAGUCCUGACCAGCUCGUCCGUCGUCCUUGGUCUUUCGGAACUUCCAUAUCGCGUUGAGGGCGGUGGCGUACAGCACUCCCACCCAGGCUCCCGUCCACGCGUCGUUGACGUAGAAGCGGAGGAAAGGAAGCUGGGCGGUGGGGGAAGGAGGGGAUGUAGGGGCAGGGGGGAGGCUCAGAAACGGAUUUGGCAAUGGUCAUAUUACAUUACCCUGCAGGACACAGCUGCUAGUGUCUUCACAUUAUAAAAACACUCCGUUCGCUCCCGUUUCCCUGAUUGUUCCCAGCUUUCGAGGAUCCGAGUGCUAUUUUGAGC